This 433-nucleotide ribosomal RNA is filed under the name uncultured bacterium. RNAcentral describes it as "partial 16S ribosomal RNA". It matches the Rfam family "Bacterial small subunit ribosomal RNA", at positions 29 to 507 of the family's 1533-position model. The record is from RNAcentral.
AACGAACGCUGGCGGCAUGCCUAACACAUGCAAGUCGAACGAGACCUUCGGGUCUAGUGGCGCACGGGUGCGUCACGCGUGGGAACCUGCCCUUAGGCUCGGAAUAACUCCCCGAAAGGGGUGCUAAUACCGGAUAAUGUCUUCGGACCAAAGAUUGAUCGCCCUUGGAUGGGCCCGCGUUGGAUUAGCUAGUUGGUAGGGUAAAAGCCUACCAAGGCUACGAUCCAUAGCUGGUCUGAGAGGAUGAGCAGCCACACUUGGACGGAGAAGCGGCCCGGACUCCUACGGGAGGCAGCAGUGGGGAAUAUUGGACUAUGGGCGAAAGCCUGAUCGAGCAAUGCCGCGUGAGUGAUGAAGGCCUGAGGGUAGUAAAGCUCUUUUACCCGGGAUGGUAAUGACAGUACCGGGAGAAUAAGCACCGGCUAACUCCGUG